UACGGGGGGGGCAAGCGUUGUUCGGAAUUACUGGGCGUAAAGGGCUCGUAGGUGGCCAACUAAGUCGGACGUGAAAUCCCUCGGCUUAACCGGGGAACUGCAUCCGAUACUGGAUGGCUUGAGUUCGGGAGAGGGAUGUGGAAUUCCAGGUGUAGCGGUGAAAUGCGUAGAUAUCUGGAGGAACACCGGUGGCGAAGGCGGCAUCCUGGACCGACACUGACACUGAGGAGCGAAAGCGUGGGUAGCAAACAGG
Molecule: ribosomal RNA, 253 nt
Filed under: uncultured bacterium
Lineage: Bacteria
Description: partial 16S ribosomal RNA
Rfam family: Bacterial small subunit ribosomal RNA
Source: RNAcentral